UACGAAGGGGGCGAGCGUUGUCCGGAAUCAUUGGGCGUAAAGAGCUCGUAGGCGGCUCGGUAAGUCGGGUGUGAAACCCCCAGGCUCAACCUGGGGACGCCACCCGAUACUGCUGUGGCUAGAGUCCAGUAGGGGAGUGUGGAAUUCCCGGUGUAGCGGUGAGAUGCGCAGAUAUCGGGAGGAACACCAGCGGCGAAGGCGGCACUCUGGGCUGGAACUGACGCUGAGGAGCGAAAGCGUGGGUAGCAAACAGG
RNAcentral lists this ribosomal RNA (254 nucleotides) under uncultured bacterium. Its description in RNAcentral is "partial 16S ribosomal RNA". It matches the Rfam family "Bacterial small subunit ribosomal RNA", at positions 524 to 776 of the family's 1533-position model. The record is from RNAcentral.